Long non-coding RNA from Homarus americanus (American lobster), 761 nucleotides. RefSeq lists it as uncharacterized. The transcript is spliced from 3 exons. The record is from RefSeq and is a predicted model, not a curated record. Lineage: Eukaryota; Metazoa; Arthropoda; Malacostraca; Decapoda; Nephropidae.
GCUGGGUUAGGAGGCUGCAAGAGUACAUAGUUUCACCUUCGCCAACUGCACCCUCAGUAUACUCACAGCCUAGUAUCAGCAUUAUCUUCUAAAUGUUGAGUUGGAGAUAUUUAUGUGGAAGUACUCAGCAAUAAGGAAAAAACAAAUAUUUCCUAAAAUACAACAGUGAAGAGGAGUCUUCGAUGCCAGCGUGUCAGCCAAGGUUACUGUCGCCGCGUUCUGUUUGUUGGCUUUGAUUAGUCCUUAACGAGAUGAGAACACACUCCAGUAGUUGACCGUUACGAGGCUUCACGUACUCUACCUCCUUGAUCCCAGAACGAACAUAAGGAAUGGUCUACCAGCUCAAGGUGUGGUGGAGUCAAGAACAGUACGGGCUUCAAAAUAACCCGAGACAAGAUCAUCAAGAACAAUGAAGGGAUCCUACACAAGCCACUGACAUUCCCUCGGCGUGGCCAACUCUAGUGGGCAGCCAUUAGGUAAAAAGGUAAAAAAAAUAUUUUUCCGUCAUAUUAACGAACAUUAGGGGCACAUCGUCUACUCGGGUUCUUAACGGAAAUGUUCUUCAUAUAACCUAACCUAACCAUUAAGCACUGCCAGUAACUUCUAGUCUUACCUAAGUUUAUUUCAUUCUUAAGAGUGUCUGUCAAUUCAGACCGUGUUGUUACUGGGAAUAAUUAUCCUCAACUUGACUCCUAAUAAUAGUGGCCCAAAUGGAUAAUUAGCGACUCUUCAUUUGGACUAAACUAAUACAGUAACAUUUA